RNAcentral lists this ribosomal RNA (354 nucleotides) under uncultured soil bacterium. RNAcentral describes it as "bacterial SSU rRNA". It matches the Rfam family "Bacterial small subunit ribosomal RNA", at positions 26 to 374 of the family's 1533-position model. The record is from RNAcentral.
AGAGUGAACGCUGGCGGUAGGCCUAACACAUGCAAGUCGAACGGCAGCACAGUAGGAGCUUGCUCUUACGGGUGGCGAGUGGCGGACGGGUGAGGAAUACAUCGGAAUCUACCUUUUGGGUGGGGGAUAACGGUAGGGAAACUUACGCUAAUACCGCAUACGCCCUUCGGGGGGAAAGCCGGGGACCAGCAAUGGCCUGGCGUUGAUAGAUGAGCCGAUGUCGGAUUAGCUAGUUGGUGAGGUAUGGCUCACCAAGGCGACGAUCCGUAGUCUGGUCUGAGAGGAUGAUCAGCCACACUGGAACUGAGCACGUCAGCUCCUAGGGAGCAGCAGUAGGGGAAUAGUAGGACAAGU